Lemur catta (Ring-tailed lemur) is the source of this 324-nucleotide long non-coding RNA. RefSeq lists it as uncharacterized. Lineage: Eukaryota; Metazoa; Chordata; Mammalia; Primates; Lemuridae. The record is from RefSeq and is a predicted model, not a curated record. The transcript is spliced from 3 exons.
GCCAGGUGUCGCUGGGACAGCACAUUGGCCACGUGGGAAAAGAGGCCCAAGGAGCUGUUUAACGGAGAUCCCGGUGUGGUACCCCGACUGGCGCAGGUCUGAGCUCCUCCUCCCCCUCAUCCGCCUGGGGACCCCCUGCUCAGAUGUUGGUGAAAUGAAUUCAAAAUGUGGUUUUUCCUGCAAAACAACAUCACUAAUGGCAACCAGGCCCUGGGGCUGAGACACAGAAGCCAAAGGAAGCUUUAAUGAGAUUAAAGCUCUGUCUACAAUAACAAAAAUGACCAAUCUGGUUACAUUUGCUGGCAAUUAAACAAAACAGAAAAA